Molecule: ribosomal RNA, 221 nt
Filed under: uncultured bacterium
Lineage: Bacteria
Description: partial 16S ribosomal RNA
Rfam family: Bacterial small subunit ribosomal RNA
Source: RNAcentral
UACGUAGGGGGCUAGCGUUGUCCGGAAUCAUUGGGCGUAAAGAGCGUGUAGGCGGUCCGGUAAGUCCGACUGUGAAAGUCAGGGGCUCAACCCUGAAUGCCGGUUGGAUACUGUCGGGCUAGAGUCCGGAAGAGGCGAGUGGAAUUCCCGGUGUAGCGGUGAAAUGCGCAGAUAUCGGGAGGAACACCAAUGGCGAAGGCAGCUCGCUGGGACGGUACUGA